Long non-coding RNA from Gekko japonicus, 139 nucleotides. RefSeq lists it as uncharacterized. Lineage: Eukaryota; Metazoa; Chordata; Lepidosauria; Squamata; Gekkonidae. The transcript is spliced from 3 exons. The record is from RefSeq and is a predicted model, not a curated record.
AAUCUAAGAAGGUUAUUUGUGGACCAUAGGUUGAUUUUAUAACUACUGGGCUAGUGAUUGCACUAAAAAGGUUGUAUGCGCAUAUUUACCCUGUGCCUGGUUAUUUUUCUUCUGAACAAUUUUCUUUAUGGUCCUGAUU